GGAGGGCGGCGCUUGCGGGGACCGGGCUGCUCCGGGCCCUGGGGACCCCUGCGCUUCGCUCACUCCUCCCCCGCCGGGGCUCCGCGGGCCAGCGCUGCGGCCGCCAGGGUGCGCCCCCCCGCCCCGCCCCGCCCCGCCGCCGUCCCCGGCCCGCUCCGCCCGAGCCCCCCCUCGCCGCGCUGCGCGCUCCGCCCGAGCCGCCGCCGCCGCCGCCGCGUGCUCCCGCUGUCUCCUCGCUCCAGCCGAGCGAGCCGGAGGAGCCGGGGAGAGGGAGAGAGCGAAAGGGGGAGGAGAGAGGGAGAAGGAGGGCGGGAGGGAGGGGAGCAGAGGGAGAGGAGGCGGCGGCGAGCAGGAGCGAGCGCGGAGCGCCGAGCCGCGGGGCAGCUCCGGAGCCGGGAGCCUCCUCGGACAGCCGCCCGCCCCGGCCCGGCCCGGCCCCGCUCCAGCGCCCGCCCGCUCGGAGGACACGCGGCCGCCGCCGCCGAGCCCGGCCCGCGCCCCUCGCCGCCCGCUCCGCUGCCCGCUCGGGGCCGGGAUGCAGCCGGGGCAUGGCCGCCGGGCCCCCGUCACCUGCCGCGGGGAGCGCUGAGCCCGUUGAGAAUCUCAGGUCCCUGAGAACCUGAAGCUUUUCCUGCUGAUUCUCACUAUUUCUCAGCAAAUUUCUACCCGAGAAAGUUCCAGAAAGAACCCCGUGGGAGGCCUCCCUGCUGCAGUGAAGCAGGCCUCACCCACCACUACCAG
This 741-nucleotide long non-coding RNA is filed under the name Canis lupus familiaris (dog). Its description in RNAcentral is "lncRNA (ENSCAFG00845014075.1)". The record is from RNAcentral. Lineage: Eukaryota; Metazoa; Chordata; Mammalia; Carnivora; Canidae.